This 253-nucleotide ribosomal RNA is filed under the name uncultured bacterium. Its description in RNAcentral is "partial 16S ribosomal RNA". It matches the Rfam family "Bacterial small subunit ribosomal RNA", at positions 524 to 776 of the family's 1533-position model. The record is from RNAcentral.
GACAGAGGGUGCAAACGUUGUUCGGAAUAACUGGGCGUAAAGCGCGUGUAGGCGGCGUAGCAAGUCGGGCGUGAAAGCCCACGGCUCAACCGUGGAAGAGCACUCGAAACUGCUGCGCUAGAGUUCUGGAGAGGAAGGCGGAAUGCCUGGUGUAGAGGUGAAAUUCGUAGAUAUCAAGCGGAACACCGGUGGCGAAGGCGGCCUUCUGGACAGUGACUGACGCUGAAACGCGAAAGCGUGGGGAGCAAACAGG